This 349-nucleotide unclassified non-coding RNA is filed under the name soil metagenome. RNAcentral describes it as "partial contains 5.8S ribosomal RNA, internal transcribed spacer 2, and large subunit ribosomal RNA". The stretch from base 5 to 119 matches the Rfam family "5.8S ribosomal RNA", at positions 40 to 154 of the family's 154-position model. The record is from RNAcentral.
GAUGAGAACGCAGCGAACUGCGAUAAGUAAUGUGAAUUGCAGAAUUCAGUGAAUCAUCGAGUCUUUGAACGCACAUUGCGCCCCCUGGCAUUCCGGGGGGCAUGCCUGUCCGAGCGUCAUUGCUGCCCUUCAAGCCCGGCUUGUGUGUUGGGUCGUCGUCCCCCCCGGGGGACGGGCCCGAAAGGCAGCGGCGGCACCGCGUCCGGUCCUCGAGCGUAUGGGGCUUUGUCACCCGCUCGAUUAGGGCCGGCCGGGCGCCAGCCGGCGUCUCCAACCUUCUAUUUUACCAGGUUGACCUCGGAUCAGGUAGGGAUACCCGCUGAACUUAAGCAUAUCAAUAAGCGGAGGA